AUGGCGGGGGUGAGCGCCGGGACGGGGGCGAUGGGCUCCCUCCUCGGCAAGCUCACCGCGCUUCUCGGCGACGAGUACAAGCUGCUCAAGGCGGUCCGCAAGAAGAUCGAGUUCCUCAAGCGCGAGCUCGGCAGGAUGCAGGUCCUGCUCGAGAAGCUGGCGGAAAUGAAGGGGAGGCUCGACGGCCUGGCCAGGGGCUGGAGAGACAGCGUGCGUGACCUCAGCUACGACAUGGAAGACUGCAUCGACCACUUCAUGGACCGUCUUGGAAGCGGAGAUGCCAAACGAAAGUUCAUGAAGAGGACGGCGCGCCGGCUCAAGACUCUGUGGACGCGCCAUGACAUCGCCACCCAGAUCAAGGAGCUCAAGGCUCGCGUCAUGGAGGAAAGUGAGCGUCGUGACAGGUACAAGCUUGAUGAGAGUUGUUACAGUGCAACGAAGACGGUGGAGAUUGACCCACGGCUAACCUCGCUUCACGAGGAGGUCAAGGAUUUGGUGGCAAUGGACGACCGAGUGAAGCAAGUUACUGCUUUAUUGAUGGAUGAGAGUAUGGAGCUGAAAGUGGUGCCGAUUGUCGGGUCCGGAGGGUUGGGGAAGACGACCCUGGCCAUGGAGGUGUAUCGCAAGAUUGGACUAGGAGAAGACUUCCAGUGUCGAGCUUCUGUAUCGGUGUCACGCACUCUUGAUCUACAUAAGCUCUUGAAGGAUAUGUUAUCUCAAAUAGAUGACAAUGAAUGUCAGUCAGAGGGUUGGAACAUAGACAGACUAAUUCGUAAAACUGCACAAAUCUUGACCGGAAAGAGGUACUUAAUUGUUAUUGAUGACGUAUGGAAAGAAGAACACUGGAAACUGAUCAAGUCAGCAUUUCCUGAGAAUAAUAAUGGCAGCAGAAUAAUUGCUACUACACGCAUUAUCGGCGUUGCUAAUCUAUGUUGUUACAGCUGUGGUGGUCAACCCUAUCAAAUGGAACCUCUAGGUGACGUUGAUUCUGAAAGAUUGUUCUUGAAGAGAAUUUUUAGCACAGAUCAUUCAUGUCCUGCUGAACUGAAAGAUGUUUCUAAUAGGAUCUUAGAAAAAUAUGGUGGUGUACCACUGGCCAUAAUUACAUUUGCAAGUUUGCUUGCCAAUAAAAAACACAACAAGGAUGAAUGGGAGAGACUGCAAGAUUCCAUCGGUGUUGGUUCUUUACUUGAAAAUGAUGGGAACUUAAAAGCGAUGAAAGAUAUAUUGUUACUUAGUUACUGGGACCUUCCACACCACAUGAAGACUUGUUUACUGUAUUUGUGUAUAUAUCCAGAGGACUACAAGAUCAAGUGUAAAGGGCAACCUGGUGCAUGUAGCUCCCGCUUGCGCAGGGUCCAGGGAAGGGUCCGACCACUUUGGGUCUAUAGUACGCAGCCUUUCCCUACAUUUCUGUAA
This 1419-nucleotide ribosomal RNA is filed under the name Triticum aestivum (bread wheat). Its description in RNAcentral is "partial small subunit ribosomal RNA". Lineage: Eukaryota; Viridiplantae; Streptophyta; Magnoliopsida; Poales; Poaceae. The record is from RNAcentral.